This 400-nucleotide long non-coding RNA is filed under the name Manihot esculenta (cassava). RNAcentral's name for it is "long non-coding RNA (MESC_LNC005672)". The record is from RNAcentral. Lineage: Eukaryota; Viridiplantae; Streptophyta; Magnoliopsida; Malpighiales; Euphorbiaceae.
CUUAUGGCUUUGAUUUGGUGCGUGGAACUAAAUCUCUCGACUUGAUCAAGAGUGAAUUUCCCAAGGGCAAAUACCUAUUUGCUGGAGUGGUUGAUGGAAGGAACAUUUGGGCCAAUGAUCUUGCUUCUUCUCUCAGCACCCUGCAUGAACUUGAGGGCAUUGUUGGCAAAGGUACUGAUUAUUAUUUGCAUCUGUUGCAACACAUGCUGAUUUAUUUUUCAUCAUAACACAAGUUAAUUCAUGAUUUAUGUUAUCUUGCUUGUCAUGAACUUGAGGGCAUUGUGGGCAAAGGUACUGAUUAUUAUUUGCAUCUUUUGCAACACAUGCUGAUUUAUUUUUCAUCAUAACACAAGUUAAUUCAUGAUUUAUGUUAUCUUGCAGACAAGCUUGUAGUAUCCAC